CCUCCUCCCACGCCGGCAUCAAGCGUCAGCGGAGCCACAGGGGGAGGGGCAGCCAUGGAGUGUCCCUCCCUCACCUGGGGCUGGGGAAACACAGCCCCGUCUUCGGCCGAGGAAUGGAGCGGAAGAAGCUAAGACGCAGCUGGGGGCCACCGGCCGGCUCUAAGAGACUGUCUACGGAUUCGUUCGUCUGGGACUCUGUCUGGGACUCGGCCUCCGAAGACAGCGAAGACGACGACAACUUUCCAAGCACACAGACUCAGUGACACACACAGAGACACACAGACACAUAGACACACACAUAGACACACAC
Molecule: non-coding RNA, 310 nt
Organism: Petromyzon marinus (sea lamprey)
Lineage: Eukaryota; Metazoa; Chordata; Hyperoartia; Petromyzontiformes; Petromyzontidae
Source: RefSeq, a predicted model, not a curated record